Molecule: ribosomal RNA, 415 nt
Filed under: uncultured eukaryote
Lineage: Eukaryota
Description: bacterial SSU rRNA
Rfam family: Eukaryotic small subunit ribosomal RNA
Source: RNAcentral
CAAUAGCGUAUAUUAAAGUUGUUGCGGUUAAAAGCUCGUAGUUGGAUUUCUGCCGAGAAGGUUCGGUCUGCCCUUUGGGCAUGCAUCGAGUCCGUCUUGGCAUCCUCGUGGAAAACGUGUCUGCGCUUGAUUGCGUGGUGCGGGUUCACGACUUUUACUUUGAGGAAAUUAGAGUGUUCACGGCAGGCUUCCGCCUUGAAUAUAUUAGCAUGGAAUAAUAAUAUAGGAUCUUGGUUCUAUUUUGUUGGUUUCUAGAGCUAAGUUAAUGAUUAAUAGGGACAAUUGGGGGCAGUUCGUAUUAACGCGUCAGAGGUGGAAUUCUUGGAUUGCGUUACGACGAACUACUGCGAAAGCAUUUGCCAAGGAUGUUUUCAUUGAUCAAGAACGAAAGUAAGGGGAUCGAAGACGAUUAGAU